GAGAGAAUGUAAGGAUAAACAUUAAAGAAUGAAUUAUUUUAAACUAAUUGCUUUGUCCCUCCUUGGAUUUCAAGAUGUAUUUAGAGGAGUGAAAUGAGGAUUUCAUCUACCAGACAUCAUCCACACAUCUCCCAGAAGGCAAUAAGUGGGGAAAAAGGGCACACAAAUGCUUUGUCUAUGACUUCCAUUCUACCAUGUGAUUAAAAUGUCACCACCAACUGAAAAAAGAAUGAGGAGAAGCCAGUAGGAGCCAAUACUUACAAUAAUUUGAACCAGCUUGAACUGUUGCCCCCCAGUCAGGCCACCUGCCUUGGAACCAGCUGAUUAUGGACUGAAACAAACUACACAGUCUAAAAACGCAAUGAUCACCACUUAAAAUGUGAUAAUGAUACAGGAAAAGUAUAACACCAAACCUGCUCGUGUUCAGAUGUGCCGAGUUUGAAAAUGAAUUCCAGAAGACAAAGCAGGUAAAGAAUAGGAAAGAUUUAUUAAGACAUAGUCUCUGAAACACAAGAGGGGUCUCAGAAAUGGAUUGUCACUGAAGGCUCUGUGAAAUACAACUUGUCCAGCAUGUGGAUACAACAUGGUUCAAACUAUAAUCAAUCAGCAAGAAUAUAAAUAUAGCCACUUAGCUCUUAUUGAUCCAAUAGGAAGCAGAGUGCCAGGGUAUGGGACUGACAUCACUAGCCUUGGUUAUCUAUGACUUCUCAAACAAGAACAUUUUGAGAAUGGAUAAGUCCAGCUGUUCGGGUCACCCAUUGGGUGUCCAAUACAUAUCUAGUUUUAAUGGACUGGAUGAUACCAAUUACAAUGUAAUCUUAAGUCCCAUUCACCCUUUAGGGAUGUAUGUAAAUCUGUACAUUGUAUUUUAAUCUUGAGGCCUUGCCUUCUUCAGAUACACCUUCAUGUUAGGGACCAAAAAUCACAAUGGCUAGUGUUGCACACUUCCAUAAGAGAUUAACAGAGGCUUGAAAUUUUGUGUAUCACACUUUUGAGAUUUUCCAUUAUCCCUAUAGGGGCAACUCAUCCUCUCCCAUGUACUAAGAUUAAGUUUAAAACUAUGAAGAGUAAAGUAUCUCCAGGGCAAGAUUCUCAUUAGUGUAAAACCACAGCUACCUGCUAAAUUACUGUCAUCCGAUCAUCCCCUCCCCCAUCAAUAAAUGCUGAGGUCAAGUUUCCUUGUGGCUGCUGUGUAGCCUUGUGAACAACUGGUCAUCCUGGAUCCCCUUGUACCACCACUUUGUC
This is a long non-coding RNA of Cavia porcellus (domestic guinea pig), 1245 nucleotides long. RefSeq lists it as uncharacterized. NCBI's taxonomy places the organism in Eukaryota, Metazoa, Chordata, Mammalia, Rodentia, Caviidae. The record is from RefSeq and is a predicted model, not a curated record. The transcript is spliced from 3 exons.